GUAUAUUUGUACAAUUAGAAAAUUAUACAAAAUUUAAAAAUAUGAAAAUAAAAAUUAUAAAAAGAAAAAUAAAAAAAAAGAGCAAAGAUGAUAAUAUUAAUAAUUAUAGUAACCUAGACUUUAUUAUAACAAAUAGAGAAAAAGAAGUAAUUUUAAAAAAAAAAAAAAAAAAAAAUGCUUUUUUUAAGCAUGUAGAGUUUAGUAAGGAAUACUUAUAUUUUUUACAAGUAGUGGUGAAGAAGGAUUUGAGGCAAAUAGUUCGUGAUAAGUCUGCACAUGCUACCGCUACUACCACUNNNNNNNNNNNNNNNNNNNNNNNNNNNNNNNNNNNNNNNNNNNNNNNNNNNNNNNNNNNNNNNNNNNNNNNNNNNNNNNNNNNNNNNNNNNNNNNNNNNNAUGUAGAGUUUAGUAAGGAAUAUUUAUAUUUUUUACAAGUAGUGGUAAAGAAGGAUUUGAGGCAGGUAGUCCGUGGUGAGCUUGCACACGGUACUACAACCGCCACUCCUAUUAGCACCAACAGUGGCGACAACAAUCUGACAUUUUUAAACGAACACAAAAACACCUUUUCAGACAUAAGUAUAAACAUUUUUUUAAAUUUUACUGCAGAGGUUGCAUUAAUAGAUGACAAAACAAAUGAAGAAGUAGAUAAGGAUGUGAAUAGUUUUUUGGAACAUAACAAAAUUAAUAUAGAGGCUUUAAAAAAUAAAACACCUGUAGAUAACACAAUCAAUAAUAUUUUUUCUUUUAUAAAUGAUCUAAAUUUACAUUUCAAAUGUGAUUAUAUAAAUAUGUUCACCCAACUUUCAAUGAGUAAUAAAGAAAAUAUUUUGAAUAUAAAAAAUUGUGUAAUACAUAAAAACAAAGACGUAAAUAAAGAUAAAUUUAAUAAACAAAAUAAACUAUUUAAUAAUUUAUCUGUAUGCAUGAAUAAUAAAACAAAAUUAGUAAAUGAAAAAAAACCAUGCGUAAAUAAAAACAUAUUUUUUCAAAACCUGUCGUCAAUUUUACCUUAUAAUAAAAAGGAUUUUGAUUAUAUAAUAUAUAAACAUUUUGAAGACAUUACUAGUGAGGGUAAAAUAUAUAUAGAUAAUUUUUUACGUACUAUGAAGUGUUUUUAUCAUACUGUCAGAGAUGAUACGGCUGCUGCUGAUAAUACCACUACCACUACCACCACUCCUGACACUUGUGACAAUAACACUAAUUUAAUGUUGAACUCUUUCGAAAAAUUUGAAAAAUUUGAAAAAUACCCAAUAAUGACUACCAGUAAAGAAGAUAAUUUCCCUUUUGAGAUGAUUAAAGAAGAUAGUAAAAAAAAUGAAAAAUUUAUAAAUAAAGAUUAUGAUAUAUAUUUUGAAAAAUUAUUUCUUCAUUCUAAUGAAGUAAAAAGAAUUAUUGAAGAUUUCCAAAAUUAUCAUAAUAUUACUAAUAAAACAAAUAUGUUAAAAAUAAAAAUGGAUGCUGAGUUUAAGUUAGAAGAAAAGGCUUUCCGUAUGCUCAAAACCAGUGCCAAUUUUAACAGUAAAAAAAGUGCUCGCAUUAACUUCGAUAGUGGCAAAACUUAUGUUAACAACAGCUGCUGUAACAACUACGGGUACAAUACCGAUAUCGAAGAAUUUAUAAAAAAUAACUAUGCACAUCUAGAAAACAUAUAUAAAGAAAUACCAAAUACAAUCACGACAGAACCAAAUUAUCAGAACUGCACAAAUAAGAUAAACUAUGCUUCAUCUACGUUAAACGCAGAAAACACAAAUAAUGUUGAACCUUUAAAAAAAAAAGAUAAAAUAAAUUACAAUGAUAAAAAAAAACAAAAGCUAUAUGCAAAUACCAAAAUAAAAUCACAAGUAACAAAUAUACAAGAUAUUAUAAACAUGAUAAAAAAAAUUGACACAUGUACCGAGUCAAGUGAUAUGAAAAAUAAUAAAAUAAAUAUUUCAAAAACUAUUAAAGAAAGAAAAAUAUUUAUUGAGCAUAUAAAAUCUAAUCUGAAGAAUAAAAAGUUUAAAAACAUA
Long non-coding RNA from Piliocolobus tephrosceles (Ugandan red Colobus), 2009 nucleotides. The record is from Ensembl. Lineage: Eukaryota; Metazoa; Chordata; Mammalia; Primates; Cercopithecidae.